UUGCCGACUCGGCUCAGCUCCCCCGGCGCCGCCCCGCGAGGCUCCCGUUGCGCCGCCAUCUGGCCGCCCCGGGUUUCUUUUUGGAGAUUUCCCUAAUCCCUUUCUCACAGAAUGUUUUGUGAGGCGCCGGGCUAUAAGCACGCUUUGUCGAGAAAUCACUAAUUUCAGUGCUCCAGAAAACCAUUUUCUUUCUGUUUUACCUCAUUUCCACCCUUAAAAAAAUCAAACUUAGAGCUCCGUGCUGGUCGGGCGACGCAACGCUUCCCGGCCACGUCCGGAGGCAGGACGUGCCCCGCGGCUUCCAGGCUGGCUUCCAGGCUUCCUAGCACAAGGGCCUCGUGUUCCAGUCCUGCCCACACACUGCCGCCUCCAUUUCCGGACGCACCCCCCAAGCUCCCCCGCGGUCCCCGCGGCCGCGGAAUGCGCGUUGCUCUCUAGCGACAGCGACGGUCUCGGUGUCUGCUUCCCGCGGGCGGCGCGCAGCCUUCCGGCCGUUGCUGCUGCUUUUCCUUUGCUUCCCCACGCGCAGGUGCCAAGGUAAGCCGGACGCAUUAGUAUUCACACGUUGUGCGCGCAGCCCAGCCAACACGUACCGGAGGGAAAACAUUAUUUCUCAUAAGUGCUCCAUAAUCAUAGUCUUUAUUGCAUCCAAAUCUAUAGUGUGGCACAUAGUGGAAAGGUUUUGGAUUCUCCGUGGAAGAAGCGACAGACUCUGGCAGGCAACAAAGGCAAGAAAAAAUACAUCAUCAGAGAAGGAUAAUUUCUCUGUAUAAACGUAGGGUGACGUUGGGACCAGACGCUGCAACAAGGAGCUGCCACCACCGUCUACUGUGCUGCUGCUCCAGAGCUGGAGGGCCUCGGAGGGAUGUACUUCAACAACUGCUGCCGCUGCAUGCCGUCCCCGGAGGCUCAGAGCGAGGAGACGGCGCGGGCCCUGUGGGCGCUCAGCGAGAGGCUGAUCCAGGAGGGACCCGGUGGCCAGUCCGGCUAAGCGCGCGCCCGGUGAGCCUUGGUGCGCACACCGACCCUGCGCGUCUGCGCCUGCGCAGCUGCCGCCACUGGACCUCUGCCACCUAACUAGCCAGGGGCUUUCGGUGUCCACCCCCCACCCGACACAGAUCCGCCAGAGCAGAGGGAAUACAUACGAGUAGUCACGACAGAGGGAAAAAAAUACCGAGUACCGACGGGAAUUACAGGGCCCCGGGGACAGUCUUUUCUGGGGCUGGGCGAGGCUGGCGUCUCUUUGCUUCCCUGGUGGUGGCCUGUUGGAAGGUGAACGCUGAGCUGGUAUGCAGGCUCCUGUGUCACUGUGGAAGCCCGGGCUGUUCUCACGCGUGGCUUACAAUAGCCAGGCGCCCUCUGUCCCCUCCCCCUGCCACCGCCACGGCCCCACUGUAGCUUGGAGCUGGCCGAGGUGAGUGUUGAUCCUUUCAUUCGUCCUGACCAAGCCUGAGUGGACGCAGCAGUGACUGGGGGAGAGAGCUCUGGGAUCCCUCUUCCAGCCAGCCAAAAGAGAAGUGACACUUAGAAAUGGGGGGCUAGACACAGCUGGUGGGUCCCAAAGGGCUGGCCCAAGUCCCUUGCCAAAGCUGCCCAAAAAUUCUUGAUAGAUUAUUACAAACAAAUUUUGCAACUCAUUCCCUAGACACCUUGGCGGGCAAGAAAGGAAGCAUUGCGUCCAUGAGAAUAUACAGGCUAUGGAGGGGCAGAGGAGAAAAAAGUUGUUCCCCUUAUUCCUCAUUUGCAGUUUGAAGCAGCAUCCUGAUGGUGGAGGUUCCCAGCCUCCGGCUUAUCCUGCUUGAGCGUUUCCGCUUCACCUUCCUCUGCUCCUGCCUAGGCCUAAUAAGAGAACAUGCGUGAAAAUUA
Molecule: long non-coding RNA, 1866 nt
Organism: Mustela lutreola (European mink)
Lineage: Eukaryota; Metazoa; Chordata; Mammalia; Carnivora; Mustelidae
Exons: 2
Source: RefSeq, a predicted model, not a curated record